RNAcentral lists this ribosomal RNA (551 nucleotides) under Icelinus filamentosus (threadfin sculpin). Its description in RNAcentral is "partial 16S large subunit ribosomal RNA". The stretch from base 192 to 551 matches the Rfam family "Bacterial large subunit ribosomal RNA", at positions 566 to 1050 of the family's 2925-position model. Lineage: Eukaryota; Metazoa; Chordata; Actinopteri; Perciformes; Cottidae. The record is from RNAcentral.
CGCCCAACAGCUAGCCCACCUAAACAACUCCAACAAACCCCUGUUAAUAACCCCUAAAUACCCCCGUAUUUAAAUUAAACAAACCAUUUUUCCCCCUCAGUAUAGGCGAUAGAAAAGGGACCUACGGCGCAACAGAGAAAGUACCGCAAGGGAAUGCUGAAAGAGAAAUGAAACAACCCAGUAAAGCCUAAAAAAGCAGAGAUUUAAACUCGUACCUUUUGCAUCAUGAUUUAGCGAGUGUACCUCAAGCAAAGAGUACUUUAGUUUGACAUCCCGAAACUACGUGAGCUACUCCAAGACAGCCUAAUUAAUAGGGCACACCCGUCUCUGUGGCAAAAGAUGUGGGAAGAGCUUUGAGUAGAGGUGACAAACCUACCGAACCUAGUUAUAGCUGGUUGUCCAAGAAAUGAAUAGAAGUUCAGCCUCUUGGCUUUCUCUUUUCACCCUAGAUUAACCCCUACUGAUGCAUCAAAGAAACCGAAAGAGUUAGUCAAAGGGGGUACAGCCCCUUUGAAUCAAGACACAACUUUACCAGGAGGGUAAAGAUCAUA